UGCCAGCCGCCGCGGUAAUACGAAGGGGGCUAGCGUUGCUCGGAAUCACUGGGCGUAAAGGGCGCGUAGGCGGCUGAUUUAGUCGAGGGUGAAAGCCCGUGACUCAACCACGGAAUGGCCUUCGAUACUGGUUGGCUUGAGACCGGAAGAGGACAGCGGAACUGCGAGUGUAGAGGUGAAAUUCGUAGAUAUUCGCAAGAACACCAGUGGCGAAGGCGGCUGUCUGGUCCGGUUCUGACGCUGAGGCGCGAAAGCGUGGGGAGCAAACAGGAUUAGAUACCCUGGUAGUCCACG
RNAcentral lists this ribosomal RNA (294 nucleotides) under uncultured bacterium. RNAcentral describes it as "partial 16S ribosomal RNA". It matches the Rfam family "Bacterial small subunit ribosomal RNA", at positions 506 to 799 of the family's 1533-position model. The record is from RNAcentral.